ACACCGAUGGUGAAGUGGUUAUCAUGCUUGCCUUCCAUCGUCGAAAGCAAGCGGCACGGGUUCGAUUUCCGUUCGGUGUA
RNAcentral lists this transfer RNA (80 nucleotides) under Amanita muscaria Koide BX008. It matches the Rfam family "tRNA". Rfam says of the family: Transfer RNA (tRNA) molecules are approximately 80 nucleotides in length. Lineage: Eukaryota; Fungi; Basidiomycota; Agaricomycetes; Agaricales; Amanitaceae. The record is from Rfam by way of RNAcentral.